CCUACGGGCGGCAGCAGUGAGGAAUAUUGGUCAAUGGACGGAAGUCUGAACCAGCCAUGCCGCGUGAAGGAAGACGGCUCUAUGAGUUGUAAACUGCUUUUGUACAAGGGUAAACCUGAAUACGUGUAUUCAGCUGAAAGUACUGUACGAAUAAGGAUCGGCUAACUCCGUGCCAGAAGCCGCGGUAAUACGGAGGAUCCAAGCGUUAUCCGGAUUUAUUGGGUGUCAAGGGUGCGUAGGCGGAUUGAUAAGUUAGAGGUUAAAUGUCCGAGCUUAACUCGGGAACUGCCUCUAAUACUGUUGAUCUAGAGAGUAGAUGCGGUAGGCGGAAUGUAUGGUGUAGCGGUGAAAUGCUUAGAGAUCAUACAGAACACCGAUUGCGAAGGCAGCUUACCAAUCUAUAUCUGACGUUGAGGCACGAAAGCGUGGGGAGCAAACAGGAUUAGAUACCCGAGUAGUC
Molecule: ribosomal RNA, 460 nt
Filed under: uncultured bacterium
Lineage: Bacteria
Description: partial 16S ribosomal RNA
Rfam family: Bacterial small subunit ribosomal RNA
Source: RNAcentral